This 402-nucleotide unclassified non-coding RNA is filed under the name uncultured fungus. Its description in RNAcentral is "partial contains 5.8S ribosomal RNA and internal transcribed spacer 2". The stretch from base 1 to 133 matches the Rfam family "5.8S ribosomal RNA", at positions 22 to 154 of the family's 154-position model. The record is from RNAcentral. Lineage: Eukaryota; Fungi.
UGGCUCUGGCAUCGAUGAAGAACGCAGCGAAAUGCGAUAAGUAAUGUGAAUUGCAGAAUUCAGUGAAUCAUCGAAUCUUUGAACGCACAUUGCGCCCACCAGUAUUCUGGUGGGCAUGCCUGUUCGAGCGUCAUUUCGACCAUCAGAAGUCCCCCCCCGGGCCCCCGGUCCCACGCGACCGGAGGGCCCCUUUCCCGACCCCAGAGAUCGGAGGUUGGGGGGGAAGCUGGCGCUGGGGAUCGUCCGCCCCCCGCGGCGGCCGGCCCCGAAAUGAAGUGGCGGUCUCGUCGCGACCUCCCCUGUGCAGUAGCGAUACCUCGCAGCCGGAUAGCGACGCGGCCACGCCGUAAAACAACCCCCUAUACUGUGGUUGACCUCGAAUCAGGUAGGAAUACCCGCUGA